UGUGAAUACAAAAUCACACAACUCCUGUGAAGGUGAUUUUGGUAAUAUUAAAUAAAAUAACAUGUUCUUUUACCCUGUGACUUAACAAUUCCAUUUGUGGGAAUCUAUGCUAAAGAUCCAUUAGUAAAAGCAUAUUAUGUGUGCACAAGGAACUUUUUGUAAUGGCAGAAGACUGGAAAAAGCCUACAUAUCCAUCAAUAGGGGCCUCGUUAAAUAAACUUCGAUGCAACCAUAGAUAACCAAAGAACAAUGUCUAAUUCAUUUAAAACACAGUAUUUUGUUUGUACAUCCCUAAUGGGAUAGAAUAUGAAGAAAAAAAAGCACAAACUUAAACUUUAUUCAGCAGUCUUGUUAGCAAUAUUGUUAUUCUGUUCUAUAUACGUAUAUGUGUGUAUAUAUAUAUAUGGAUAAAGCAAAUAAUUAUGUUAAUAUCUUUAAGAACCUCUAUGUUCAUCUUAAUAGAAAGGAGACAAAAAACAAAAUCAAAGAGCUUAGCUUUAAAAAAGGAUUGGGACAUAGAUAGAAAAAGGCACUUAGUAUUCAAGAGUAGUCGCGGGUCUUUGAGAAAAGGAAAUCUGAGACAUCUAAAAUCCAAAAAAAUGUCAAGUUUGGGGGUGGGAGAAGGCUAAAGACAAUAGAAGUAACUUUUUAUGUCUGAAGCAAGAAGAAAAGAGGAGGAAUGGUUUGGUUUAGUCUCUGACACACCAGUUCCUGUUAAACGAUGGCUUUUCUGCAGUGCCUUUGUCUCCUAAAUGCGGGUCCCACUCCGUCCAUCCCUACCUUCACUUUUUACCAAGUUAAUUUCUACUGAUUCUUCAGAUCAGUAAAUCAUUGGUACAUUCUGUUCCCCAACCUCAACAAGGAUCUUUUAUUCUACCAUAACAUAGAAUCAUAUUUCUUUCCUUAGUGCACUUCUUUCAGUUUAUAUGCAUGAACCAUUAAUGUAACCACUUGAUUCAUAUUCUCCCCCACUUCGAGGGCCGAAGCUGUUGCAGAUUUUGCUCAUCAUCCUAUACCACAGUACAUAGCAGACGCGCAAUAAACAAUUGUUAAAGUAAAGCAACACCCUUAACUCCCAUUUUUUUCCCAUUUCUUCAGAGAAUCUUCUUUAGAUUGGGAAGGACUUGAACUCCAAAGAGAGCAAAAUGAUUCUAAGAAAACGUACCCUACUCAAGUUUGUUCAUUCGGCAAAAAUUCAUUUAGCCCCCGGCACUGUUAGGCGAUUGGGGAUACAACAGAGGAUAAGGCAGAUAAAGUUCUGUCCCUACUCUUACUAAGUAGACAUGGGCACGAGGCAAGGUGGUAGUAAAAGUGUGGUAGGUUGUCUGUAUUUAAAUUGAAUCCAAGUCUCCUGCUCUAAAUGAAUUACAUCCCAGAAAACAGAGAACACCCCGACGGGAUCGCUGAUGUUUGAGAAUAGAAAAACAGCUUGAGGACACGAGCUGAGGAUGUGCAGUCCUGUUUGUCAACAAGCUAACCAAGGUUUCGGCAAUGUGUGGGCGCGGAGCCGGCCUCCUCCCGGAUCUCCUAACUUCAAAUCCCACCAAAUGAAGCUUCUGCAGCUGCUGCCUCCUGCGGACUUCGCAUUUCUCCCGCACUCUACUCUCUCAUGACAGGUCCUCUUUGUUGUAGUUAAGUAUGCGAUCAGAUUUGAGCGUCACCAUCAGUCCCCCAAAUACGGACCAGUUCCCAUAGUCGAAGUUUCCAUUAGAGGCCCUGGGUUGGGGUUACGAAAAUGAGCGUUUGUGAAUCCCGACUUAAGUUGUCUCACUUCGCGUUCUGUAGAACCGGU
Molecule: long non-coding RNA, 1792 nt
Filed under: Equus asinus (donkey)
Lineage: Eukaryota; Metazoa; Chordata; Mammalia; Perissodactyla; Equidae
Description: lncRNA (ENSEASG00005036825.1)
Source: RNAcentral